AUGUGGCCACCAAACCCCCUGGUGGCCACCACACCCUCCCAUGUGGCCACCAAACCCCCUGGUGGCCAUCCCGCGGUUCCCCCCCGCAGGCGCUCGCCCACCUCGAGGCCUUCAUCGAUUUUGGCGAGGAUGAGGAUGUGGAGGAAGAGGUUUUGUCCCGAGGUGAGGAGGAGCUGCUGGCCCUGGGCCACCAACGGCCCCUGGGCUCAGCACAAAUUCUGUGGUUUUUAUCCCAAAUUUUGGGGAUCAGCACAAAUUCCGUGGUUUUUAUCCCAAAUUUUGGGGCUCAGCACAAAUUCCGUGCUUUUAUCCCAAAUUUUGGGGCUCAGCACAAAUUCCGUGCUUUUAUUCCAAAUUUUGGGGCUCAGCACAAAUUCCGUGGUUUUUAUCCCAAACCUGGAGCUCAGCACAAAUUUCGUAUUUUUAUCCCAAAUUUUGGGGUCAGGACUUGGGGCCUUUCCUGGUGUUUUUAUCCAAAUUUUGGGGCUCAGUUCCAUCCCCUUUCCGGGUGUUUUUAUCCCAAAUUUUGGGCUCAGUUCUUGUUCCCUCUCCCGAUGUUUUUAUCCCAAUUUUGGCCUCAGUUCCCAGGACCUUUCCCAAUGUUUUUAUCCCAAAUUUUGGGCUCUGUUCCAUCCCCUCUCCGGGUGUUUUUAUCCCGGUUUGGGCUCAGUUCUAUCCCCUUUCUGGGUGUUUUUAUCCCAAUUUUGGGCUCUGUUCCCAGGACCUUUCUGGGUUUUUUUAUCCCAAUUUCGGGCUCUGUUCCAUCCCCUCUCCCGAUGUUUUUAUCCCGGUUUUGGGCUCUGUUCUGUCCCCUUUCCGGGUGUUUUUAUCCCAAUUUCGGGCUCUGUUCCAUCCCCUCUCCCAGUGUUUUUAUCCCGGUUUUGGGGCUCAGUUCCCAGGACCUCUCCCGAUGUUUUUAUCCCAAUUUUGGGCUCUGUUCCUGUGCCCUUUCCGGGUGUUUUUAUCCCAAUUUCGGGCUCGGUUCCAUCCCCUCUCCCAGUGUUUUUAUCCCGGUUUUGGGGCUCUGUUCCAUCCCCUCUCCGGGUGUUUUUAUCCCGGUUUCGGGCUCUGUUCCGUCCCCUCUCCCCAUGUUUUUAUCCCGAUUUUGGGGCUCUGUUCCAUCCCCUCUCCCGAUGUUUUUAUCCCGGUUUCGGGCUCUGUUCCAUCCCCUUUCCGGGUGUUUUUAUCCCAGUUUGGGCUCGGUUCCUGUGCCCUCUCCGGGUGUUUUUAUCCCGGUUUGGGCUCAGUUCCAUCCCCUCUCCGGGUGUUUUUAUCCCGGUUUGGGGCUCAGUUCCGUCCCCUCUCCGGGUGUUUUUAUCCCGGUUUCGGGCUCGGUUCCCAUCCCCUCUCCGGGUGUUUUUAUCCCGGUUCAGGCUCGGUUCCGUCCCCUCUCCGGGUGUUUUUAUCCCGGUUGCGAGCUCGGUUCCGUCCCCUUUCCGGGUGUUUUUAUCCCGGUUUUGGGGCUCGGUUCCAUCCCCUUUCCGGGUGUUUUUAUCCCGGUUUCGGGCUCGGUUCCUGUGCCCUUUCCGGGUGUUUUUAUCCCGGUUUGGGCUCGGUUCCUGUUCCCUUUCCCGGUGUUUUUAUCCCGGUUUCGGGCUCGGUUCCUGUGCCCUUUCCGGGUGUUUUUAUCCCGGUUCAGGCUCGGUUCCCAUCCCCUCUCCGGGUGUUUUUAUCCCGGUUUGGGCUCGGGCUGAGCGCCGCCGUGUCCCGCAGUGUCGCUGUCCGUGCGGGAGCUGGAGCGGGAGAUCCGGGCUCAGCUGCGGGACGGGCGCCGGGGGGAGCUGCUCCGGGCCGGGGUCCGGGCGGUCAUCGCCGGCCCCCCGAACGUGGGCAAGAGCAGCCUGUUCAACCUGCUCUGUGAGUGUCCAGUUCCCAAAAUUCCCGAGGGAAAUCCCAGCCGGGGGUUGGGAUCGUUCCCAAAAUUCCCGAGGAAAUCCCAGAUGGGGGCUGGGAUCAUUCCCAAAAUUUCCGAGGGAAUCCCAGCCCGGGGUUGGGGUCAUUCCCAAAAUUCCCGAGGGAAUCGUUCCUGCUGGGCUGGGAGGGGUUGGGAUAAUUCCUGAAAUUUCCCAAGGGAAUCGCUCUGGGGGGGGUUGGGAUCAUCUCCAGUAUUCCCAAGGGAAUCCCAGCCGGGGGUUGGGAUCAUUCCCAAAAUUCCCGAGGGAAUCUCAGCCGAGGGUUGGGAUCAUUCCCGAAAUUCCCCAAGGGAAUCCCAGAGGGGGGUUGGGGUCAUUCCCGAAAUUCCCGAGGGAAUCGUUCCUGCUGGAUCAGGGAGGGGUUGGGAUCAUUCCCGAAAUUCCCCAAGGGAAUCCCAGAUGGGGGUUGGGAUCAUUCCCAAAAUUCCCAAGGGAACCGUUCCUGCUGUCCCCAGGUCACCCACGGGUCUGGAGGGGCCAGGAAAAUUCCCAAAAUUCCAGAGGGAGCCAUUCCAGCACCCCCAAAUCCCCCAGGGAACCCUUCCAGCACCCCCAAAUCCUCCAGGGAACCCUUCCAGCACCCCCAAAAUCCCCAGGCAACCCUUCCAGCACCCCCAAAUCCCCCAGGGAACCCUUCCAGCACCCCCAAAUCCCCUCUGGGCACUCAAACCCCUGCAAUAAUCCCCAAAAUCCCCAGGCAACCCUUCCAGCACCCCCAAAUCCCCUUUGGGCCCCCAAUCCCCCACAAUAA
RNAcentral lists this long non-coding RNA (2664 nucleotides) under Cyanistes caeruleus (blue tit). Its description in RNAcentral is "lncRNA (ENSCCEG00000002261.1)". The record is from RNAcentral. Lineage: Eukaryota; Metazoa; Chordata; Aves; Passeriformes; Paridae.